UCACAUGCACCUGGAGAUGAUGUGUUAUAUCCGCCGAAAUGAAAACUUCAGCUUGCGACUUUUACUAACCACUUAAUUCAGUGACAAGUCCGAUCUACUCCACCGCAGACCCUUUCACCAGUACCUGAUUUCGCUUCUAUCAGAAGACCAUUAAGAGCUCAGCAACAUCGAGAUUCGUCGACUAAUCUCUCGAUUUCACCAGUACCUGAUUUCGCUUCUAUCAGAAGACCAUUAAGAGCUCAGCAACAUCGAGAUUCGUCGACUAAUCGCUCGUUUGUACGCUCUCAAGUUUAAGACUUUUCAAGCUUCGAUCUUCAUUCUUCAGCUUACCAACCAAUCUCUGGUAAAAUACUGAUAAAUUUUUUUUUUUUUUU
RNAcentral lists this long non-coding RNA (374 nucleotides) under Brassica napus (rape). RNAcentral describes it as "long non-coding RNA (BNAP_LNC009071)". The record is from RNAcentral. Lineage: Eukaryota; Viridiplantae; Streptophyta; Magnoliopsida; Brassicales; Brassicaceae.